AGUCGAACAAUGCAACACCAGUUCUGGGUGAAAUCGCACUUUGUUUGUAACGCGAGAAACACAAUUUAACCGGUAUUUUAUCCGACUAACACCAUACAGGGGUUUAGUGAGCACUUGAGAAACGGUGCGAAGUAGUUUUAGAGAAAUCUGCACAUGAAUUCUACCGGAUUGGCCAUCAUCAAGCGAAAUUUGGAAAAUUGUGACUGCAGUGACAGUGAAUAUUUUGAAAACAAAGUGCCAGGCCAGUGAAAACUAAUAGAUAUCAAUAAAAAUCAGCAAAACAACAAA
Culex quinquefasciatus (southern house mosquito) is the source of this 288-nucleotide long non-coding RNA. RefSeq lists it as uncharacterized. Lineage: Eukaryota; Metazoa; Arthropoda; Insecta; Diptera; Culicidae. The transcript is spliced from 2 exons. The record is from RefSeq and is a predicted model, not a curated record.